RNAcentral lists this ribosomal RNA (729 nucleotides) under uncultured bacterium. RNAcentral describes it as "bacterial SSU rRNA". It matches the Rfam family "Bacterial small subunit ribosomal RNA", at positions 14 to 762 of the family's 1533-position model. The record is from RNAcentral.
UGAUCCUGGCUCAGGAUAAACGCUGGCGGCGUGCCUUACGCAUGCAAGUCGAACGAAGCCCCACCGUUCGCGGUGGGAGACUGAGUGGCAAACGGCUGAGUAACGCGUAGGUGACCUGUCCCGAGGUGCGGAACAACCCGUCGAAAGGCGAGCUAAUACCGCAUGAGCCCACCGUUCAGCGGUGGGGAAAGCUCCGGCGCCUUGGGAGGGGCCUGCGUCCGAUUAGCUAGUUGGUGAGGUAAUGGCUCACCAAGGCGACGAUCGGUAGCUGGUCUGAGAGGAUGAUCAGCCAGACUGGGACUGAGAUACGGCCCAGACUCCUACGGGAGGCAGCAGCGAGGAAUCUUGCGCAAUGGGCGAAAGCCUGACGCAGCAACGCCGCGUGGGUGACGAAGGCCUUCGGGUUGUAAAACCCUUUUGACGGGGAAGAAGCUCUGACGGUACCCGUCGAAUAAGCCACGGCUAACUACGUGCCAGCAGCCGCGGUAAGACGUAGGUGGCGAGCGUUAUCCGGAUUUACUGGGCGUAAAGGGUACGUAGGCGGUGCCGUAAGUCUGCUGUGAAAUCUCCCGGCUCAACUGGGAGGGGUCGGUGGAAACUGCGACACUUGAGGUGCGUCGAGGCAAGUGGAAUUCCCGGUGUAGUGGUGGAAUGCGUAGAUACCGGGAGGAACACCAGUGGCGAAAGCGGCUUGCCAGGCGCUACCUGACGCUAAGGUACGUAAAGCGU